Ictalurus punctatus (channel catfish) is the source of this 1959-nucleotide long non-coding RNA. The record is from Ensembl. NCBI's taxonomy places the organism in Eukaryota, Metazoa, Chordata, Actinopteri, Siluriformes, Ictaluridae.
GAACAGUUAGUGUGAAGGUUCUGGAAAGGGACCUUGCGCCACGCUGUGUAGGAACUACUAAGCGUCGGUCGUUAACCGUUCGCAGAUUGCGUGAGGGAACGUACGCCUUCAGGAGAGAGUUGAGGUAGGAGGGAGCUGUUCCAGACAAGGUCUUGUAGGUGAGCAUCAAGGCCUUGAAUUUGAUGCGGGCGGAUACAGGAAGUCAGUGGAGGGAGAUGAAGACGGGUGUGACUUGGGUUCUCUCGGGCUGGUUGAAGACGAGGCGUGCUGCUGCAUUCUGAAUCAUCUGAAGGGGUUUGAUGGAGCUGCCGGGAGGCCCGAGAGUAGUGAGUUGCAGUAGUCCAGUUUUAAUAUGACAAGAGCCUGGACUAGUAUCUGUGUAGCCAACAUCGAAGAACAUCGUUAUCACCUAUGAUAAAAAAAAAUAGGUUGUGCUUUUGCAUAUGCAUGUGCUCGUCUUUUUAUUGUGUGUAUCUCUGCGAGAACAAAAAACUUCGAUGUCUUCUAUACAUAAGGCUUACAAACUUUUUUUAAGGCAGAGCUCCACCCAAUGAAAUGGUGGCCUUUCCAGCAGGCAGGAGCCCAGAACUCAGCCAAAUAAAAGUCUCUCCAGGGUACAAAAGAUCUUUGCACUGCUUUUACGUGAACUCCACCUAACAUUUCCCAUCGUCCGACAAAGUUCCAUGACAUCAAUGUUAAGAGUUCUUUACUGCUUGGAAAUUGGACAUUUUGCCAAAAUUCCUGAAGACCGGAGACAAGUCGAGUCGGGAAACGGGACUGAUUAGAAACACAGCAGAGACGGUGGCUUCCGCGCGUCUGCUCUCGCUAGAGAGAGAGAGAACUGAUUUUCAGUGUGCAGUAAUUUCACAGUGUCUCAGUACUUGAACAUGAAUGCACACCUUAUAUACUCACAAACAAAGCAAUGUAGACCGCAUCACUUUUAAAUUCUUGAUUUUGAUUGGUCAGAACGUCAGUGGGUCAUACUUAGCCAUUUCUGUAGUAAGAGCUUAUACAAGGACAUCAAAUCUAGAGUCACUCUAAUUGAGGGUCAGAGAAAGUAUACCAUGUAGAAAAAAGUCUGUGUUGGAAUAUAAGCUGCUAUAAAUGUUCAUAAAGGGCUUAUGUAGGUGUCAUUUUGGAACAAGAGAUGUUAUUAAAUGUUUAUGAAGGGCUUAUGUAGGUGUCGUGUUGGAACAAGAGAUGUUAUUAAAUGUUUAUGAAGGGCUUAUGUAGGUGUCAUGUUGGAACAAGAGAUGUUAUUAAAUGUUUAUAAAAUGCAUAGGUAGUCAUGUUGGAACAAGAGAUAUUAAAUGUUUAUAAAGGGCUUAUGUAGUGUCAUGUUGGAACAAGAGAUGUUAUUAAAUGUUUAUCAAACGCAUAUGUAGUCAUGCUGGAACAAGAGAUGUUAUUAAAAGUUUAUAAAGGGCUUAUGUAGGUGUCGUGUUGGAACAAGAGAUGUUAUCAAAUGUUUAUAAAGGGCUUAUGUAGUGUCAUGUUGGAAGAAGAGAUGUUAUUAAAUGUUCAUAAAGGGCUUAUGUAGUGUCAUGUUGGAACAAGAGAUGUUAUCAAAUGUUUAUAAAGGGCUUAUGUAGUUGUCAUGUUGGAACAAGAGAUGUUAUCAAAUGUUUAUAAAGGGCUUAUGUAGUGUCAUGUUGCAACAAGAGAUGUUAUUAAAUGUUUAUAAAGGGCUUAUGUAGUGUCAUGUUGCAACAAGAGAUGUUAUCAAAUGUUUAUAAAGGGCUUAUGUAGGUGUCAAGUUGGAACAAGAGAUGUUAACAAAUGUUUAUAAAGGGCUUAUGUAGUGUCAUGUUGCAAAAAGAGAUGUUAUUAAAUGUUUAUAAAGGGCUUAUGUAGGUGUCAUGUUGGAACAAGAGAUGUUAUUAAAUGUUUAUAAAGGGCUUAUGUAGUGUCAUGUUGCAACAAGAGAUGUUAUCAAAUGUUUAUAAAGGGCUUAUGUAG